AACGAACGCUGGCGGCAGGCCUAACACAUGCAAGUCGAACGAGAAGCCACCUUCGGGUGGUGGAAAGUGGCAGACGGGUGAGUAACGCGUGGGAACGUGCCUUUCGGUUCGGAAUAACCCAGGGAAACUUGGGCUAAUACCGGAUACGCCCUUCGGGGGAAAGAUUCAUUGCCGAAAGAUCGGCCCGCGUCGGAUUAGCUAGUUGGUGGGGUAAAAGCCUACCAAGGCGACGAUCCGUAGCUGGUCUGAGAGGAUGACCAGCCACACUGGGACUGAGACACGGCCCAGACUCCUACGGGAGGCAGCAGUGGGGAAUAUUGGACAAUGGGCGAAAGCCUGAUCCAGCCAUGCCGCGUGGGUGAAGAAGGCCCUAGGGUUGUAAACCCCUUUCAGCGGGGAAGAUAAUGACGGUACCCGC
RNAcentral lists this ribosomal RNA (418 nucleotides) under uncultured Hyphomicrobiales bacterium. Its description in RNAcentral is "bacterial SSU rRNA". It matches the Rfam family "Bacterial small subunit ribosomal RNA", at positions 29 to 482 of the family's 1533-position model. Lineage: Bacteria; Pseudomonadati; Pseudomonadota; Alphaproteobacteria; Hyphomicrobiales. The record is from RNAcentral.